Papaver somniferum (opium poppy) is the source of this 1902-nucleotide long non-coding RNA. RefSeq lists it as uncharacterized. The transcript is spliced from 6 exons. The record is from RefSeq and is a predicted model, not a curated record. Lineage: Eukaryota; Viridiplantae; Streptophyta; Magnoliopsida; Ranunculales; Papaveraceae.
UCUUAUUUUUCAUCGAGCAGCAGCUGCCUCCAUCUUCCUCUCGUUUCAAUAGCGCCUCAUCUCAAUUCUCUUCAUCAACACCAAUUGAAAAGAGGAGAUUUAUCAACAACAUCUUGUUUUCUCUAUUAUCUUCAUCAAGGCCAAAUGAAAACGAAGAUUCAUCAACAACAUCGGUUCUUGAAGUAUGAAUCGAUGAAGAAUAUACGAUGAGGAUUAUCAACAAUGAUCAAGAGUAAUUCUAUAUUGUCCAAAGCAAUUGGUAAUUGUACAAAAACUUAGAUUACGUCUCUUCAUUAGUAAGUUGAUGGUAAUGGAAACCCUAGAUUUGUUUCUUCUUGAUUGAUGCUGGUGGUGAUAUGAAAUUUAGAGAUCUAUCAAAUGGGAAUUUUUUGUUGUUUUGCAGGCUGCAUAAUCGUUGAAUCCCUAAAAUUAACAUUUUUGGGAGUAUGGGAUGAACCAGUUGACCGUGGGGGUUAUUAUAAGUGUGAUGUUUCAAAUUUGAACUUCCUAUUCUAGUUAAUAUCUGAUUUUACUUGUAUUCGUUAAAUUUAUUAGACAUGAAGGUAUGUUAAUUGUGUAUUUGUUGUUGAUGUUAGAAAUGGAACAUUUGCUUAAAUUCAAGGGUACUUGAAAAUUUUCCAGGGUAAGAAACACUUGGAGGAUUUUUCUGUUAGUUCUCUUCGCAACCUAGUUUUGCUGAAAUCAAACAAAAGGUCCUUGACAUUUUUCCGUACCUGUGUACAUGGCACGAGAAAAUGGGGUACAUAGGGAUGAACUGGCGGAACACCUUAAAGUUCCAGUGGUGAAAAUAAAGGAAUCUCUUGCAACUCUUGAGAAGGAAGGUGUGGUUUAUCCAACAACUGACAAUUAUCAUUAUAAAUAUUUUGGAGAGUAAGAAAGAUAUUUCAAAUUAAUCCCAUAAUCUUUAUUAAAGUACUCUGAGUUAACCUAUUAUCUUCAACCUCGUCUUGAUGUCUUCCCUCUCAGUUCUUCAAGUGAUAGCCACAUUUUUUAAGUAAGGUGUCAUGUUUCUGUCACUGAGUUCUCCAAGGAUACGUAGGAGUUCAGAAAUAAAAGUUUUGACCCUUGGGUUUGUGAAGUCACAAGAUUCAGCAAAUACUAAUGAUAUAUAACCAUCUUAUUGGAGAUUCUUCUUGAUGCUAAGCAUGAUGCAAAAUCUCAGGGUGAAUAUGGAAGGCUUGAGUUUCACUUCCAAUCAUUUGUGUCAUUCAAUGUGGCCAGCAAGUGAUAUAUUCUUACCGAAGUCAAUAUAGCUGAAUUAUGCAUUAAAGUUUAUAUUCGUAUUCAACUCCCUUAAACCUUUACGUGGUCAAUUGUACUAACAUCGCAAGUCAGUUCAUUGUAGUUCAUUGUAGAGAAAACGAGCCUUAAUCCCCAAGCAGAAAGGAAAAAUGGCGGAAGAUCAUCAAGAUCAAGAUGGGAAGGCUACUUCAGCUUAAACAAGACAGCGAAACAGAUCAACGUUCUGAGGAUGACCUCAGCGAAGUUUUUGGUACAUAUGGUCUGGUCACUAAGGCAUUUUCAACUGUAGGUACGCCAGAUUACAUAGCUCCAGAAGUGUUGUUGAAGAAAGGUUAUGGCAUGGAUUAUGACUAGCUGGUAGAACUUGGUACUUGUAGCUUCACCAUCAGAAUCACUUAAAGUUACCUGAAGAGGCAAGGUUGACACCUGAAGCAAGGAAUCUCAUUUGUAGAUUGGUAUAUGAUGUUGACCAAAGACUAGAUAUUGGAGGGGCAUAUCAAAUAAAAGUGAGAUCUUAUUCCUUUUUCGAGUCUUUUCAUAUCAUGUAAUUUUGUUUCUUGUAUUUACUGUAAUGGAAACUUCUCAGGAUCAUCCUUUGUUCAAAGAUGUUGUUAAAUUUAAUUUAUGAAGUUCUUAUGA